CUGAACCCUUAAUGAAGUACUGUCCUUGCCUGUAAUAUCUGCUAGAUAUUACAGACUGAACCUGCAGGUAACUAAUGGAAAUGACGAUUGCCACGGGAAGACUAUUGUAUGGCAUAAUUGGGUUACUUCUCUUGCCUCUGCCUGGCAUCAGGGAGCACAGACAGCUGAUGGAUUGCCACGGGUGCUGGAUGCUAAAGCAGAGUGCAGUUCCUGUGUAGAAACUGAGGACAAAAAAGUAAGUGGCUUGUUUUAAUGUAAUUCAUGUUAGGCAUCUCUAGCAAGAUUUUUUUUUAAUUAAAUCAUAUGAAAUUGCCUUUUUUGUGGGUGUAUAUAUGUUAAGUUUCCUAACGAUAACUGUUCUAAUGUAGUUGUAUUGUAACUUGAGGAGGGGUAUUCUGCCUUGCUUUACUUGAACGGUCCUUUAUUGGAAAUUCCCUUCUGAAGAAGCAGUUAAGUAAAUUAUAACCAUGCAUUUGUUAAACUACUAACAGUUUAAAAACAACUGCAUUUCCUAUUCUU
RNAcentral lists this long non-coding RNA (519 nucleotides) under Struthio camelus australis. Its description in RNAcentral is "lncRNA (ENSSCUG00000016181.1)". The record is from RNAcentral. Lineage: Eukaryota; Metazoa; Chordata; Aves; Struthioniformes; Struthionidae.